AUGGGGUUGAUGGAAGGGUGGUGGUUGUUUCCUCCACUCUCAAUCGAGCCCCUAAAGCGGCAACUUGAUGGUGGUGGGGGGUUUGUCUGCGGCAGGGAGCAGGGAGUGGGAGAGGUCAGCGCCGGCGCAGUGCCCCGACCUAGACAACCAGCACCUGCUGCUGCGUGGCAUGGAGAAGAGCAAAGAGGGGAAGCUGAGCGAAGGCGCAGGCGCGUGAAGGACCGGCUCAACAUGGACGGUGACGGAGCCAAAGUAGGCGACGAUAGCCGAGGAGACUGAUAGGGACUAG
This 289-nucleotide long non-coding RNA is filed under the name Oryza sativa Indica Group (long-grained rice). Its description in RNAcentral is "lncRNA OsMH63_03G030420". Lineage: Eukaryota; Viridiplantae; Streptophyta; Magnoliopsida; Poales; Poaceae. The record is from RNAcentral.